RNAcentral lists this long non-coding RNA (320 nucleotides) under Salvia miltiorrhiza (redroot sage). RNAcentral describes it as "long non-coding RNA (SMIL_LNC003169)". Lineage: Eukaryota; Viridiplantae; Streptophyta; Magnoliopsida; Lamiales; Lamiaceae. The record is from RNAcentral.
GGGCGCAUAAAUGAAUACUCAAAGAACUUGAAUGAGCGUGACAUACUCCUUGAAAGAAAAAGGCAUAGUUUGCAUAAAAAGGAUACUUAAAGAACUUGAAUACGCGUUAUAUUCCUUAAAAGGAAAAAGGCAUCGUUAAAGGCUUGACUAAAACAUUAUCAGAGUUUGCAACGGAAGGCGUAACUGAAAUAAUCAGUGUUUACAGCGGAAUGCAUAACUGAGAUACAUGUAUGAAGACAUGUAUCCUUUCUGAGCCUACUUUAAGUUCGACAAAAACUCCACUCAGCAACAACACUUCAUCGCCCAUCACAGCUCAACCU